This 253-nucleotide ribosomal RNA is filed under the name uncultured bacterium. Its description in RNAcentral is "partial 16S ribosomal RNA". It matches the Rfam family "Bacterial small subunit ribosomal RNA", at positions 524 to 776 of the family's 1533-position model. The record is from RNAcentral.
UACAGAGGUCCCAAGCGUUGUUCGGAUUCACUGGGCGUAAAGGGUGCGUAGGUGGUGAGGUAAGUCUGAUGUGAAAUCUCCGAGCUCAACUCGGAAAUGGCAUCGGAAACUACCUCGCUAGAGGUUUGGAGGGGGGACUGGAAUUCUCGGUGUAGCAGUGAAAUGCGUAGAUAUCGAGAGGAACACCAGUGGCGAAGGCGAGUCCCUGGACAACACCCGACACUGAGGCACGAAAGCUAGGGGAGCAAACAGG